AUGGAAGGCGCCGAUGCCCAUAAAGGUCAAGAUUUUCAUGUGGCAGCUUCUCAGAGAUCGCUUACCUUCGGGGACCGAGGUGCUGAAACACCAUGGUCCGGGCAAUGGCCUUUGUCCCCUUUGCCUCGUCCCGAAAACGGGAACGCACAUCUUGUUUUUGUGCGUAGCAGCGUAGGCACUUUGGUGCUUUGUUCAUGA
Molecule: ribosomal RNA, 198 nt
Filed under: Triticum aestivum (bread wheat)
Lineage: Eukaryota; Viridiplantae; Streptophyta; Magnoliopsida; Poales; Poaceae
Description: partial small subunit ribosomal RNA
Source: RNAcentral